Xyrichtys novacula (pearly razorfish) is the source of this 6290-nucleotide non-coding RNA. The record is from the annotation of a GenBank genome assembly. NCBI's taxonomy places the organism in Eukaryota, Metazoa, Chordata, Actinopteri, Labriformes, Labridae.
CUUCAGAGCAGCCUAGCACAUUUCGCAAAUUGCAUUUGACUUGUCAGGUUGCUAUUUUAGGGAUGGAGUUGGCCCUGCCGUUUCAGAGCAUGGCCCAUGUAUAGGGAGGAUGGUCUUUUGGCUGUAGGAUCAAUCCUGAUCUCGAUUCUACCACAAUUUGAUGCCUUUUCUGUCUCUCCCAAGCUGAUCUUUUUUAUAAAGUUAAAAUAAUACUUUUAUUCAUGAUCUAAAAAGUCUUUUAAAAAAGUGCUGUAGAAUAGGCAUGUGUGCUGCUGAGGCUUUUGCAGCUAAACCCAAGUGGACAAGCAAGGAUUAGCUUUUUUUUUUUUCUUUUGCACUUUCGCACCAGCUUCCUUUUCCAGUAGUAUUUUUGUUGCAUAGUUCAGAGUCUUGUUAGGAUCAUACACUAUAUGAGUUUAAGACCAAACCACUCACCUUCCAGCUAUAAGAUGAGCCUCUCUGAACCACAGCCACCCCAGCUAUGAUAAGUAUGAUUCCUGCAAUGGAAAUAUGUCAUGUGUUACCAGUCUUUUUCCCAGUGUCAAGCUGUGGCUCAGCUCCCUGUGCAAACUACAACAAAGUUGAUGGCUGAUAUGUUUAAAUAUAAAUGAUAAAGUACUGUACAUAUUAAAAAAUUGCAGUCUAAUGAGACUGUUUAAGGACAAAGAUAAUUUUUUUUUAAUCCCUGUGAAAGGGUAGAUAUGCUGCUGCUGCUGCUGCUGCUGGUGUGUGUGUGUGAACUCAGUCCCAUUAAAGAUUAAUUGUCAUUAUCAGUCAUUGAUUUAGGAUUUAAGCUCUUAUUUGUUCAUCUCCUGCCUCCCUGCAUCUGUUUUCUAUUGGUAGUUUAACAACCUCGCUACUACAGCUGGAAUCUAAACAUUAGAGAAAGCUCACUGAAUCAUAAAGUUGUUAUGUUGUGUUAUGGUCAUAUCCAAGGUGAUGGUAUAGACUAAGCCAGCCAAGAAUACAAUAUUAAACUAAAAAGAGUCAGCUCUUGUACUAAAUAAGAAAUCAAUUCAGGUGCUUCACAACACAAGACACGGUUUAACAACUUAAACAUAACACAUACUGUACCUGUGAACGAAACUACAAAUCAAGAAGAGAUUGAGAUGAUGUUAAGCCUCAAGGAAUCUGUGUGACUUGUGAACUGGCUUUUCAGACCCUGGAGCACCGCAGCACCUACUACUUUCUGUUCAACAAUAAAGCACUUUGGAGGUUGGCUAUAUGACACUAUGACACUUCUAACAUAGUAGACGAUGCAAAUUACUUUGCGAUACUGCCUCCCAGUGUGAUCACCACCUAUGUGUAGCCAGGACACAAGCACGCCAUUGCAUCAGCAAGGCAAUGCACCACUAAACCAAGGUCACAGAGUACUGUGAUUUUUAUUUAUUUUGUUUGUUAGAGUGUUGACCCAUGAGAUGAUCACUCCAUGGUCUCCAGACUCUAGAUGUCAUACAUAAUUUGAGCUCACAGGUACAAACAGAUUUGAUGGGUAAACUUUGCAUGUUGGAAUGCUUUUAAGGAUAUCGAGUGGAAGAUUUUGGUCUUAAGCUAAGUUUAGACAGCAGACCCAUACGCCUGGUUCACACAGGAAGUGCCGCGCGUGGAACGGAAGCGCCGCGCGCAGCGCCGGCUCGCGCUUGGCUGUUCACACAUUUAUUUACGUUUUUAUUUCGUCAUACAUAAAUUAAAUAUUGGCAGCAUCUUCAAGUAUUGUUUUAAAUUAUUAUAUAGGGGUAAACAACGAAUAAAUUGGGGAGUCUGUUGACUCCGUUGUAUGUAUAGCCUUGUUAGCUCGAGGCUAUUGACUGUAUCGUAAUAAAGUCCCCCUCCUUUGUCUCAAUAACAUCACUGAAUCUCUGCAGCUCUCCCUCCGUGUGUCUGUGUGUGUGUGUGUGUGUGUGUGUGUGUAUGUGUUCAUCGGUAAAAAAUAGACCGACAAGCAACACCGUAAAUCCUUUUUUUCUAAUUUAUUGAAAUUUAUUUUAUUUUGAAAAUUGACCGGAUUCUCUUGCAUCUCCUGUUCCGACUUCCUGUCUGAUCUGAUCUGCUCUGUCCAGCUUUACAAUCGGCGCGCGCAGCUCGCGCCGAAAAUAGAGAGAAGCGGAGCAGCCGUGCUCCACAGCGCGAGCCGUUCCGCGCGCGAGCUGUGUGAACAGUCUCAUAGGUUAACAAGGGCGCCGAUCCGAAUCUCUGUGCGCGGCGCUUCCGUUCCGCGCGCGGCGCUUCCUGUGUGAACCAGGCGUUAGGCUUACAAAUAAAACAUAGUAUAUCUGACAACUGCAGUACCUCAUUGGCCAUAUGAGGCUGGCUCCAAAGAGCGACAUUCAUUGCUGAGCUGCAUGAAAAAAAACCAAAAAAAAAACAAAAAAAAAAAACUUCACAGCAGAGUGAAUACCACUUAUGGUCUAAAUAAGCCAAUUUAAAUGUCUGUUUCUUAGUUCACGUAAAUUAUAACAGUGACUGACUAUUGUUUUCUCUUUCAUUCCAAUAUUUGACAAACAAUAUAGACUGUGCUGUUAUCUUACCAACAAGCCUGAGUGCAUCUUCAAUGUGUAUUGAAAAGCAGUUUAUAUGUUAUUGCUGAGUUACAGGUGCUUAAGCAAAAAAGGUGUUACAACCAUCCACAGUUUCCCCUAUGUGAAUUGUGUGAACCCUAUCUAAGUAAACCAGUAUUGCCCUUGUAUUGAAUGACCUGCUGUAAAUUGCAUUAUCUACCAAAUAAAGGUUUAAAUGUCUCAGAACCGAGGCGGUGAUGGCUUAGCAGUCUAAGUGCUUUACAUGCAAGCUAUGCUACACCUAUACACCAAUGCCCCCAUCCCCACCUCUCUCUCUCUCUCUCUUUCUCUCUGUCUGUUUCCUGAUCUAUCCACUACCCUGUACUCUUCAAAUACAAUAUAGGGAGAAAAAAAGCCCAAAAAUCAAAAAAAGGCAAAAGCUGGAGAAGCAAUCUCUGAAAUACGCAGUUCCAUCCCUACAUUUAACCAUAAUUUUGGCUCUUGUGUGAAUGCCGGAAGAUAGCCUGCAGCUUUCUUCCUUCUAUAAUUUUGAUAGUUAAGAGCAGCUAGCUUAAAUCAUUAUUGGUCAACCACUUACUUCUUGCUAUUGCCACUUUUUUUCCCCAAAUAUGGUCAUUUCAAUAAAAAAAAAAAGGUAUGGUGACAGACAGCCAACAUUUGAAAGUUGGGACUUAAAAAGAUAAUCGCCAAACAAAAAGUGAAAUGACUGUGACUGUAUCUGUAAAAAUGACUUGAAUGAGCCUUCAGGGUUGGAUUUGCAUGGAGAAAAAAACAAUGUAAAGAUAUGUAUAUGACUGGUUGCAGACGCACCUGGUGUUCUUCUUCCUUUUCUGAGCAGUCUACAUCAGAUAUCCUACCCCCCCCCCCUUCCAAAUUCAAAGAAUGAUCUUUUAAAAGGGAUAUACCACCUUGGAAAAUGAUUUACUCUACAGGUUACACCAGAAUGUACAUUGUGAGCAUAUUUAAAGCUGAGCACCUUGCAGUUGAACAUGUCUGGCUUUAUUGAUGUGGAGCGCCGGAGUAGAGUCCCUGUGUUGUCUUUGUGCUGAUAAGUGGCCAGGCCUUGGACGCUUGUAUUUUAAUUAGCAUCAGGUUGUAUGAACUCAAAAAUGGAUGAAUAGAUGGUGUAAGAUCCGUUCUUUUAUUGAAUGCCUUAUAAAGGGGCUUUGUUGGAGACAGCAAAAUGGCCAGGGCAGCUGAGGGAAAAAAAAGCUUUGAGCAAGAAAAACAACCUGAAAUGGCGGCGGCUGCUGGGUUCAUGGCCAGAGCAUGAGUGUGUGUGUUUAGCAAGAGAGCUACAGAGAAAGGAGAGUACAGGGGGAGGACUGAACACAAGGCAGCAGAAAAAUACAACCUGACAAACACAAAUAUUGAUUUGAAUUUUCUCCCCUGUCUCACGUUUUUUUCCCUCUUCCCCUCUCUCUCCUUUGCCCUUGCCACCUCCUCAGCUUUUAUUUCCUUGUCUCUCUGCCUUUUUUCCAUCUAGAGAGCGGCUGAAGUACUUUAUUUUCUAUCCAUCUUGAAGUACUGUAAGGAUGGAUGGAGGACAGGAUGGAGGGGUGGAGAAGAGGAUGACGCUCAAAGAGGGAGGCAAAAAUGGAUUGGAGAAGAAAAGUGGAGAUGGAGAGACAAGAGAGAAAGAGCGGGGAAAAAUGGAGCCGGUAGUUGUUGAAAUAAGUGCAACCGGUGCAGCUGAGAUGGGAGGAGAUGCUUAAAGUGGAAUAGCUGAAAAAAGAGAGGAGAAGAAUAAGAAAUAGGGGGAGAAUGAGAUGGACAGAGAGGGGAGAGUGAAAAAGGCGAAGGCAAGGUCUUGAGCAAAGGAGGAAGAACAGCAGACAACAGAGUACAGGAGCAAAGGAUGCUGGUAAAGAGAGGUAAAGGUCUUGCCCCCCCCCCCCCCAAAAAAAAAAAAAAAAAAAAAAAAUCCCCUCGUUAUCCAUAUUAGCACCUGCUGGGCUAACAAGGGCCCCACUCCUCGUUGCCAAGGCAACUCUUCACCAGCCUUCGCUCUUUCUUUCUUUCUUCUUCUCCACACACCCCAAACUCCAGCAACCACUAACUACCUUCAAUCUAAACCCCUCCCUCUCUACCCCCUCUCUGCUGCUUCCUCUCCAGGUAAUGAAAGGAAGAUAUGAAGCAGAGGGAGUGCGGGGAGAGGGGUGGGGGGUGUUCUGAAAGGAAAGAAAGAAGAUUUGAAGUGAACAUGCAUUAUACCUUGUUUCCCUUCUCUCAACUGUGUAAUCUGCCUCUGUACUCUAUUGACUAUUCAAUGCAUUCAGAGGGUGUACUCAUUGAUGUAAUAGCUGGAUGUGGUGUGGACAAAGGUCCCUGGAUUUAUUGCAGCAAACCAAUGAGAGUAACCCACGAAUGCAGAGACAGAGCUAAUGCAGGACAUGUAGCUCUUACUGACAAGGCUUUCAGUCCUCCAAGUUAGCCUUGCCCUGAUAUCAUGUUCAUCAUAUUUAGAUCAGGCUAGAUCAUCUGUUGACCUUUUAUUAUAUACUACAUAACCCUUCAAAAGAUGCUUGAUUACAUAAAUAGUUAUUGUAUAUUUAUGUCCACCUUCUUAAAGGGGUAUUCAGGCUCUUGGCAUAAAACAUGUUGUCAAAUCUUUGUUCAUAAGAAACUUAUAAAAAGUUAAAGUCAUUCAUUCUUUUUGUUUGGUAUUGCUUUUCAAGCUCUGGGUCAUAGCUGGAAAAGGACACUCACCUGCCACAUUAUUAGGUACACCUACUGUGUAUAUAUUUCUCACAUAUUUUGUAAAACUAGUUAAUAUGUCAACAUAAACCAUGAGAAAAACAAAGGAACUCUGUGUUAUCUUUGGUAUCCCCAUUGAUCUGAGCAGUCUUUGCUUUUCUUGUCCUCUACAUGCUCACAAAAAAGGAAAAAAAACUGCUGACCUUUGACUUGUAUUGUAUCAUUUAUUGUGAAUAUACUACCUGGAUAUUAUAAAACCAGCAACUAUGCUGACACCUACCCUUUGCACCAGUAUCAGUCAUUAAAUUGCUAAUCUUGUCCCUGAGGGUGUUUUAUAACUGUUAAAAACUACUCAGGUGCUUUUAAAAUAUUAAAGAAUUAAGAAAAAAAAUAAGAGAACAUUUUAAAGAUAAUAAAAAGAAUAGAAUUUUUUUUUUUUAAAGAUGUCAGCAACCCCACAGGAGGCCAAAUGAUGACUGACCAUCAAACUUGACAUCUGUUAAAUUCUUCUGCAGUCACAUGUGACUUUGAAGUAAACAAACAUGGACUACCAGAGGUGACCAGUGUUAGCUGCUUAGCCUCCUGGUACAUCUAUUGGAGAAGGAUUUCUUUUUUUAAUGUCUCCCUUGUCAUUUUGCUGCCCCUAUUUUACUUCCUUCUAUAGUCAGCUUGCUUCCUGACUGGCGAUUAUUUUGAGUAUGUGACACUGGACAGUAUGCAUUUUUGAUCAUCCUCAGGGUUCCCCCCUCAUACAAGGAUAUCUGAUUUGAAAUAUUGAUCAUGUUUAAUAUUUUCAAUUUUAAAUUAGAAACUGACAUCAGUCUUCUUUCAUGUGAAACAGAGGGGAGAAAAUCACUUUUAACACUAAGAUAAUCCUGGAGGAUGGCACAGUGGUGUAGUGGUUAGCACUGUUGCUUCAUAGCGAGAAGGUCUUGAGUUUGAGUCCGACUCAGGGCGUUUCUGUGUGGAGUUUGCAUGUUUUUCCUGUGGCUGCGUGGGUUUACUCCAGGUACUCCGGUUUCCUCCCACAUCCCAUAAACAUGCCUAAGUGGGGUUAGGUCAAUUGGCCGCUUU